GGCCGGGCCGGGCGCGGAGCGGGGCCUGGGGCACGCCGAGGGCAGUGGCGGCGGAUGGUGACGGCCCCCAGCGUUGUCGCUAAUCACCGCCGCCAUGAAUCACAAGAGCAAGAAGCGGAUCCGUGAGGCGAAGCGCAGCGCCCGGCCCGAGCUGAAGGACUCGUUGGACUGGACCCGUCACAACUACUGCGAGACCUUCUCCCUCAGCCCCGCCGCCUGCAAGGAUAAUGUGGAGAGGGCAGACGCGCUGCAGUUAACAGUGGAGGAAUUUGUCGAGCGUUAUGAAAAACCUUACAAGCCUGUAGUCUUGCUGAAUGCUCAGGUGGGCUGGUCUGCCCAAGAGAAGUGGACAUUGGAACGACUGAAACGCAAGUAUAGGAACCAGAAGUUCAAAUGUGGAGAGGACAAUGACGGUUAUUCUGUGAAGAUGAAGAUGAAAUACUACAUAGAGUAUAUGGAAACCACACGCGAUGACAGCCCGCUCUACAUCUUUGACAGCAGUUAUGGAGAGCAUCCCAAGCGCAGGAAACUCCUGGAGGACUACAAAGUACCCAAAUUCUUCACUGAUGAUCUGUUUCAGUAUGCAGGGGAGAAACGAAGGCCACCCUACAGAUGGUUUGUGAUGGGCCCACCUCGUUCUGGAACAGGAAUUCACAUCGAUCCCUUGGGAACUAGUGCAUGGAAUGCCUUAGUCCAGGGACAUAAGCGCUGGUGCCUGUUCCCCACCAGCACACCCAGAGAGCUGAUCAAAGUGACGCGAGAAGAGGGAGGGAACCAGCAGGAUGAGGCUAUCACUUGGUUCAAUGUCAUCUAUCCUAGAACACAGCUCCCCACCUGGCCCCCUGAAUUCAAACCCCUGGAAAUCUUACAGAAACCAGGCGAGACAGUCUUUGUGCCAGGUGGCUGGUGGCAUGUGGUUCUCAAUCUUGACACAACUAUUGCCAUCACGCAAAACUUUGCCAGCUGUACCAACUUCCCCGUGGUGUGGCACAAGACAGUAAGAGGGAGACCCAAAUUGUCAAGGAAAUGGUACAGGAUCCUAAAGCAGGAACACCCUGACUUGGCAGCUUUGGCUGAUUCAGUUGACCUGCAGGAAUCUACUGGUAUUGCUUCCGAUAGUUCUAGCGAUUCUUCCAGUUCCUCAAGUUCCAGCUCCUCAGACUCUGAUUCAGAGUGUGACUCUGGCUCUGAGACGGAGGGGAUGAUGCACCGGAGGAAAAAGAGGAGAACAUGCAGUAUGAUGGGUAACGGUGAUACAACUUCCCAGGACGACUGUGUGAGCAAAGAACGCAGCUCCUCCAGGAUUAGGGAAUCUUGUGGAGGCCGCAGCUACCCCUGAGAGAUUACAACACCCACCUAGAGGCAGCUGCCGAUCGAAGCUCCGUUAGCAGCCAGCUAGCUCUGUUCUACCCCCUUCUGCUUCUACUCCUCACAGUCCUUAAGUUUUUUGUCACUCUCCCUCGAUCCAGACAUCCAUCUUCAUUAUGUGCUGUCGAAGGUUGGCUCCUUAAUAACUUCUAGGGGAAUGCCCUGACUCUACAUUAUUGUGCAAUGCUUCGUCCCCUCUGCGCCCCGAGUGAGUGCACUAAUCACCCAGCUUUGGGUAAGGACAUGCCAAGUAUUUAAUGGUUCACGUAACUGGCAAGGAAGACGACGGUCAGUUUUUAAAGAACUCUUUUUAAAACCAGCAGGUAAAUCUAAAAACCUGCCUUGCUUUGACACUGUCAUAUGUUUACAUGUUGUCCUGUACACUUGAGGAAAGGAACACCAGCCCUUUUGGCCUAUCUGAACGUCCGGCGGAUCUCGCAUCAGAAUUUCAGGAAGGGAAGGUGGUGUGAAUGCUCCAAACACUGAAGCAAAUUCAGCAGAGGUGACCACCGACCUGAAGCAUCUUUUGUGGUCUUAAUCUACACGUGUACAUCUAAGGUGCAACACCUUAACCAGCAACAGUCCCAUUUACUUUUGCUCUGUGUCUGUUACGAUGACUGGUAACAAAGAUGCACUAGCACCUUGCAAUAGGAAGCUCGAUGGAGCAGGAGAAUCCUGGAUUUUCUUGCACAGCAAAAACUGUGGGGGAAAAAGUCAGCGUUUGCCAGUAAUUACAAUCCUUUAGGUGCAGGUGUGAUGUUUAGCGCUAGGCAACAACUGACAAAGUCUGACUCUCAUACGAUAACAAUAGUUGCUGGGCUUUGAAUACCAAGCAGUUAGAGGCCGUAGGCUCGUUCAGGCCAGUGCAGUUCACAUACCUAAAUGGCUUUUCUUUGAGGUUAUGGGCUCAGAAGCUUCCAGAACUUGCAGUGCCAAUUUUAAAGGACUGGGAGGGGGACAUAUUGGUGUUUUAUGCUUUUUUUUUUUUUUUUUAAAUGCAAUGUGUUGCUUAAGUCUGUGUAGAUGCAUUUGUAUUACGCCAGGUAAAGCUCUUAUCCCCAAGGGAUCUGUUGGAGCUGCUGGGUAUUUUUUAACAGGGGCUUGUGCUGGUAGCAGAGAGGUCUGGCUGGCUGAAGGUGUGCUGCAAGGAAAUGUCCUUCUCUACCUGAACAGCACAGCCAGAAGCUAGCUGGGUUGGGGUGCUUCCUCGGGUGCUCUCCUCAGACCUAGGAGGUGGGGAUUAGGUCUCACUUCAGCCGUUCUUUUUUGGGAGAGGAAACUCCAAAGCGGAAGUGGUGUGCGUGUAAUAAACAUGCAAUAAUGCCCAGGCACUGGUAGCAGAAUUAAAAAGCAGAUUGGCAGCCUUAACUGUGACUUUCUUACACGCAUUGGGUUUGAUGGAACCCAGAACGUUACUUGUCUGGGUUUUCUGAUCUUUUUUUAACCUUGUCUCUUCCUAUUUAAAUGUUCUCUCCCUUCUUGGAGACCGGGCCAUAUCCUGUUGUUCAAGGGAAUCCUAAAUCCGUUUGUCAGGAUCUCUGUUACCAAAUCUUCCGUGCCAGUCACUUUGUAUAGGAGCAGUGUGGUGGUGAAAAAAAUGGAGAGGGGAAGGUUUUUUUGGUACACUCCUUAGCUGUUCAGACUCCUGAAUUUCCUGUGAUAGCCAGGCGUACGUGAGCACGCUUGCUCUUUAGACUGCUGCAGAUUCUUCCACAAUAUGACUUCGUUUUAAGAAAACCUCAAACUCCUGGCAUUUCUGGCCAAGGUUGCCUUUUUUCCUGCCCGGCUGAACAGCCUGGGAGCCUGCACAAUCUGUACGUUUUCUCUGACAGAGCAGGCUGCAGCUGCUGCCUUUUAGAAGAAUGUGGGGGCCUGGAGAGGCGAAGCCUCAGCUCUGUCACCGUGAGAGGUGCCCUCAGAGGACUGUCUGCUGCCCUCUUUGGUGGCUUGACGGUUAGUACGUACAGGAAGAUGGCUUAUGCUGUAGCUUGCAAUUGCAUUUGGCAUGCACGGUUCACUUUUGCAGUCUUAAAAAUCUUACAUGUGCAUGAAAACCUGAUCGCUGUGUCAGGAAGGCUACACCUUUACCACCAGAAGCACAAUGGGAAAGAUCCAGAGUGUUCUUCCGUGCCUAUGAACUCUUCCAUGGUGUGAAAUAAAACAAGAUUGAAGCCUGUGUUCGUUUGACAUCCCUGGCAAAGCAGCGUGUUUGAAAUGGACUGCAGGCAUCGCAAUACCAGCAACGCUAUACUGACUUCUCCAUGAGGCACUUUCCAAUAUGAAACAAAGGUGCAUCUGUUUAGGCUCCCUGGGAAUCUGGACUCCUGGGAUCUCUGGUUCUUCCGCUUACAGGCUCUUGCCUCAGCCAAAUCGGUACCUCCAUCAGUGCCACUGUGGUCUUGAAAUCUGGACUUGAUUUGGUUUUAUUCCUCUGAUUUAUCUACCUGUCUUCCUUUUUUGUGACAAUUGCAUCCUAAUCAGCAAGGAGGAUGACAUACUGAGUUUUUAAUUGCUGCCGGGGAGCCAACAGGACAGGGUUACCUGAGUGGGAACGCAGAGGUUGGACUGUCUGUGCUGCACCCUUGCUGAUGUUCUUGCUCCUCUCUUCCAGUCUGAUGUAAAAGCAAAUAACUACAGGUAUUUCUUUUGGGGCAGUUAGAAAGCAGGUAACAAAGGGGCCGGGUUGCAUUCCUACUUGCCUGUUAGCCACAGCACUAAGUAGCUCCAUGUUUUAUGACGGGUUUGGGAUUAAAUUAGUAUGCUUGCAGAAUCUCAUCUUUUUUUUUUUUAAGGCGUGUAAAGACUCCUCUGUGGGACCGCACCUCCUGUGUUUCAGGAGAAGUGUAAAUUGAGGCAAUGUGUUCCAAGGGAAAUAAUUGUUCCGUGUCCCAUCUGGUCUGGGAGCUGACGACUCCCACCUGUGUGUGAUGCCUGUAACUGCUGUGUGUCCUUUCCUUCAACAGAAGGACCUGAAACUGGGGGGCUGCCACUGCAGCGAGCGUCUGCAGCCAGCCAGAGGAGGAGGAGGAGGACAGCAGAAGGAGCAGCAGUUGGUGCAGCCGUGUCCCAGCUGUGCAGGCAGGGAAGGUGUACCAGGGCUGGAGGAGAAUUUCAGAAUUGCUUUUGUGCUGCAACGCUGCCUUGUUUAGACUCACGGCUGUGUCUUGUCUGAGCUGUUCUGCUGCAGUCAGGACUGGACUGGCUGCUGGUAUCUGUGAGCUUUUCAUUCACUGUUAGGACUAUCAGCUUGUAUCAGCUUGCUGUCACGGGCAAGGCCAAUUGUACAGCUGCUUCAAAACUUUGAAGACCAACAACAACAACGCGGAGCCUGCCCUAGCUAAUGAGUUUUAGCAUGAUGGAAGAAGAGCUGUACUGGGUGAGACCGGAGGCCUAGCAGGCAAGGGGUUAGUAACGGGAGCUUAGGGAGAAGGUACCGGAACAAGCACUCACAGAAGAGCUCUUUGGUAGGAUGAUCCUGUUCAGAGGGAGCGAGGUACGGCCAUCCCCACCGUCUGCUGGCUCAGACCUCUUGGUGAGCUGAACUCCUCUGGUGGUGGUCACUCUCCUGCCACUAACCACCUCUGAGCAUCACUGCAGCAUGAAAGCUGGUACAUAGCCGGGUGGGGAGAAGCAAAUGAAGAACAGCCAGGUGAGGUCAGUGACCUUCGAGCCUGUGUCAGCUGAAGAACAGAGUAAGUACAGUGACAUUUCCUGAGAGAGCUUCUUAAUUCUGGCCUCAAAGCGGAGAGGACAUCGCUGCUCUUGGCAAGGAAAAAGUGGUAUCGGUGACCGGGAGCAUGACUGGGGCUUGCAGAAAUGAGCUGAGUUUGGACCAGGUGUAGGGUCAAUCUGUGCCCAAGCUUUAUUUGGGGGGAAAUGGGGUCUUGGAGGACUUGGGAACACAGAAUUGUCUGUCCAACAGGCGCUGUCUGAAGUCGCUGAGGUCUACACAAGCCAGCAGCUGCUGCUGCUUCCCCCACUAGAAACCAGCAGGUAUCUGCUCGCCUCAGUUAUCUGCUCGCCUCGCUUCAUAGAGUCGUGUAGACCCGUGCUUGAGUUACAGCUGUGGAGGAGAGGGGUGUUGGAACUUGGCUUCAGCCCUUAGGGUGGGAGAGGUGCAUCUGUGUAAGCAGAGGACCUCAGUACAGCCGCUGCCUGCACGGUUCACGUGCUGGGAGAGACAGUAAGAGCGUGCAACCUGUUAAAUGGGGUCUUUUUUGUGCCUACAGAGGUGGGUGGUUUUCAGCACGUUAUACCCGGGAGGCUGGGAGCUGUGCCGGGCUGUGACCACAGCGGCCUGGGCAGCAGGGACCCAGCUAAAUCCCUCUCGCAGGCAGAUUUGCAGCGCAGUGUUUUCUGUGGCGUGGGAUGCUCCCCGCAGCAGUUGUCACCGCAGCUCCCCUGAAUCCCCCCUUUGUUGGUAAAAGCUCUUCAGCUGUUACCGAGCCCUUGGCUCCCCCCGCUGAGCCCUGUAAAAGCAGCUUUUGUGCGGGGCCAGCUCUCAGCGAGCUGUUUCUCAUCAGCCCGGUUCCCGCCGCAGCCGGUGCAGAGCUGUUCUCCUCCCAAGAGAGGGCAGCCGCCUCAUUCGGCUUCCCUGCUCCGCGCUGCCCACGGCAAGGCUGGCACCCCCGGGGGGCGGCCUGGCCCCGGGCUGGGACGGGGGGGCCAUACCCAAGGAGGUUCCCCCCCCCCCCGGACCUCCCCUUUGCCAGCAGGCUCUGUGCAGGGGCUGUGCCGGCCCCUCCGCAGCCCGACUCUUCCCAGAGCUGGCGGGCAGGAGCGGGGCAGAGAUCCCUGGCCGGGAGCCUGCCUGGCUGGGAAUCCAUCCCCUCCUGUCCUGUGGCGGGAGCUGGAGACAUUAAUCUUGGGUUGUAAAUUGGUGGGGGAGCCCUACAGAUACCCUCUGUGCCUCCGGGUGGGAGCCUUGCUGCAUCACGAC
Molecule: RNA transcript, 6307 nt
Organism: Grus americana (Whooping crane)
Lineage: Eukaryota; Metazoa; Chordata; Aves; Gruiformes; Gruidae
Gene: JMJD6
Gene name: jumonji domain containing 6, arginine demethylase and lysine hydroxylase
Exons: 8
Source: RefSeq, a predicted model, not a curated record